Molecule: long non-coding RNA, 6012 nt
Filed under: Lactuca sativa (garden lettuce)
Lineage: Eukaryota; Viridiplantae; Streptophyta; Magnoliopsida; Asterales; Asteraceae
Description: long non-coding RNA (LSAT_LNC007539)
Source: RNAcentral
AAUAGAAUUCAAUAUAAAUUAGCGUUUAUAAAAAUAGAAGUAGAGAUAUCUUGUUAGCCAAAGUAAUCAGCAUGAACAUGUAGGAAACAUUAAUACGAUUUCUGUAGAUAUAUAGAACGCUCGAAUCCGACAUUGUAUGAAGAAGUUAUGCUUCUUCGAAAUUUCGCGAUUCAACCGACAUGGUUGUGCUCGUCAUAAAAUAUGAAUCAGAGAUAGAUUACUUAUUAGACUGAGUGAUCUAAAUGAAAGUCGUAGUAGUUGUAAAAUCGAGAGCGUACAUAUAUAGAACGUCCUAAUCUGACUUCGUAUUAGGAAGUUAUGAUUUUUCCAAGUUUUAACAUAGUAGUGCGCGACACAGAAACCGAAAUUAAGAUUAGUUAAUUCUUAAGAAAAACAAUCUAAACAAGAAUUGAAGAUCUCAUCUAUAUUAUUCAAUCGAUAUAAAGACAGACGUGAACAAAAUCUGCAUGAAGAAGUUAUGAAUUUUACACAAUCGUUAGAAGUAUAAUUUUUGUAGACUAUUAAAUUUAAUAUCAAACGAGAAUUAGCCGAUGGGAUCUACAUGAAAGUUGAAGUACUCAUCGAUAGCUACGCAUGGAUAUAAAGAACGUCGAAAAUGGAGAUCGUAUGAGAGAGAUACUCUUUUUAGUGAUCUACGAUUUUACUUGGCAUGGGAGGCUCAUGAGCGAACACGUAGCAACAAGCGGCCCACCCAACCAACCUACCCAUGGGUGCGGUGCGUAAAUAGUUAGGUGUGACAACCCCAUUUUCACGGCCAGAAAAGACUGAUUUUGUUUAUGCUUUAUAAAAAUCAGAGUAGCACUUUUUAAUAAAAAUGUGCGGAAUUUGUUCCCAGUGAAACAUGAUAAAUACGUUAUCAGUGCAUUUCCGAAGAAAAUUAUUUUUAUUCAUUUUAAAACAUUUGGGAUGUCAUCGUCAAUACAGAAACAUAAGCAUAAACAGAAGUUACAUUCAUUAUCACUAGUUAUUUAUAUCUCCUUAAUCUCUCAGUGUAAUGUGACUUCAUAUCAACACCUGUGAUAUAAAUAAACUGAGUGGGUCAGGUUGGGAAACCUGGUGAGUACAUAGGGUUUUCAACCCAUAAUAAUAUAAUUAUUAUGUUUAAUCAUCAAAAGUUAACCCAAUUACUCAUCCCCAUUAUCUUCGUUACUCUUAAAGAUCUACCCUAAGAAUCAGCUAUUUCUCAUUCAUUCAUUCCUAAGGAUUAUCCUAAGGAAUAUGUACAAAGUCCAUCGUUGUCAAUGACACAGCUGUCAAGCACAACUGCUAGUUCUAUCACUUAGGCGCAACUGCCACAAUUGUAACAUUCUAUGUGAGGCGCAGCUGCCAGUAUUGUCCUUCGAGCACAGCUGCUAGGGUUAUCUCGUUUAUUAACAGUAUCGUUUUCGAGAGUCCACUCGCAAUACAUGUCAAUGGUUUUUAGAGUACACUACAGGUUGCGAGUCUGCUAGUGUUCCACUGGACUGUCUUGAAUAGUCCAUGGUUGUCAUCCAUACUCUGCUAGAUGACGGGGCCAGCAUUUAGGAACAAUGCUUCUCACAUCGUCCACCUCUCACCCUUACCUCAUGGUCUAUAUCACCUCUCAACUCAUCAUCCAACUCAUAUUUCAUCUACCCAUGUUUUACCCAACAUAUUACGUAGAUAUAAAUACAUAUACAGUUUAAAUCAUAUAAAACUUAUAUAAAAUCGUUCAUCCAGCAUAGAUAGCAAGUAUACAGAUAAUAUGCACACAUAACACCUAUUUUAUAUAAAAUACUUCAUAUCUAUGUGUAAGAUGAACGGGACCAUGCACUCACUUGAAAGGUGGUGAUUCCGAACUCAGACAACGCUUCGCUUCUUAAAAAUAAUUUCCUUCGACGAAACCUAGUAUUAUUACCACUUGAAUUUAGUCUAUUAUUCGUCGAGACUAAUUAAUAGUCUAGUUAUUAUUACCAUUAUAUAAUCGUUAAACAAUACUUAUAUAACCCAUAAUAAUAGCCCAAGUACUUAUUAUAAGUUCCUAAUAACGUUACUAUAAUUAAAUAAAAAUUAUAUUAAAACUAACAUAGGCGUAGCUCACUUACAGCGGGUUUUAUAGAAAACCGGGCUUUGCUUGGAGCAGCGUUCCCGAGCCGAAAAGCUCUUCUUCUCAGAGUCGUCGAGCACUCCGGGGCUUCCGCCUCGUGCUAAGGAGGUUCCCUAGGCUUUUCGGGGGGUUUCGGGGCUAGAGAGAGGUUCUAGAGAGAGAGUAAAGAGAAGAAAGAAUGGGAAAGGUGUGAAGAAAAUGAGGGUGGGAGAGGUUUUAUUUAUAGGGUGAAAUAUGGCUGAACUUGGUGCCAAAUGUCACCAUCUGGUGGCAAGACUUGGGGAUAAAGCAAUGGCCAAGAUUGUGCCACGUCACCCAUUUUCGCACAUCACACUUCCGAUUUCUAAAAUGCUUCACUUUCACAUACGAGCUCCAUUUUUGACAUUCUUUAUAUCCAUGCAUAGGUAAAAAUAAGAUCUACAACUUUUAUUUUGACUCCGUCGGCUAAUUCUCGACCGAUCUUAAAUUUAACAGUACGAGGAGAUUAUACUGUUAAAUGUCCGCGUAAAAUUCAUAACUUCUACAUACGGACUCCGUUUUCGUCUGUCUUUUUACCGUUGAGUUCCUAUUAAUGUGAUCUUCAAUUCUUAUUUAGGUCGCGUAGGCCAAAACCGCUCGAUCUAAAAUUUGUGUUUCGGGGUGUAUACUGUUAAGUCAAAUCUUAGAAAAUUCAUAACUUCCUCAUACGAAGUCAGAUUUGGGCGUUCUUUUUUUGUAUGUUCUCGGUUUAAUGUAUACUAAAAAUUUUGUUUAGAUAACUAUAGCUAAAAAUUCCUCUAUCAUAAAUUCACUAUUUACGUCUCCCGGUGCCGUGUUGGUUUUGCCGUAAAACUUCGACGAGCCAUAACUUCUUCGUUAUAUACUCGGAUUUCGGCGUUCUUUAUAUGUACGGAACCCUUGUAACAUAUACUACAACUUGGUUAAGAUUAAUCCUUCUAAAUAAUAUUUCAUCAAAAACUCAUUUUUGACGCUUAUUGUCUCUAAAUUGACUAGCCCGGAUCUACGGGCGUUAUAAUUAUAUCCCCUUAGGAUGAUUACGUCCCAGAAUCAUCAACGAAACAGGGCUUAUAUAAUGAUUCCAUACGUUAUCUAUUCAUCCUAAGUAAUAAUCGUAACUUUGAUGUUUCUUCGAACGAGUAUCUAACUCUAAGACUUCCUAACUGCAGGCGGUGCUCGAUCUUGCACUUGGUCCCUAUCUCACGUUAGACUCCAAAUUAUGAUCUUCAAGUCAUAAUCUCGAUCCUUACUGGAGACUGCUUCUUCUUCUUCUUAACAAACUUAAGAUAAGUUAUUUUAUUACUACGAUGGACCGAUGUCAUAUUCUAAUGACCUAUCAUCGUAUGUUCCCACGCUUAGACUCAGGCCUCUUAGAGUCUUCCAAAACAGACUAUACAUUUCUUCAUGUUAUAAUCACAUCUUAAAAGGUAGCAUUUCUAGCUACAAGCAGCUAUCGUGAUACCUCUACCGAUUGUUUUGAUUAUCUUUUAUUUCUAUCUUCCGGCUUAAGUCAAAUGCUACAUCAAACUUAGUUCUCUGAACCACAUAACAUACUCAUCAUAGUUUGACUCAAUUUAAUAUGACCACUAGGGUCGGAAUAACAAUCAUCCUCUUAGUCAUUACCGAAACGAUGGUAACGACAUAUUUGAAUAUAACGGUAUCAGUUACAAGCUUCUUGGUAACCUUGUGACUUUCCCUGAUCCAAGCGUGAGUCCUGUGCUUCUGGUAGUAUAGGCCUCUACUACCUUUCACACCUACUCAUACUCAUCCCAAGUAUUGUCUCGCAGUUCACUCAAGUCACCAUACAAGAAAAUCACAUAACAACUUGACACAUUAGAUAACAAAUCGAAGGUUUUAUAUUAUUCCUUGAAACGAUUACAUAGGUGUUCAAUUUCAACCUAUAAUAUGCCUCUAAUAGGCUACACCACGUGGUACUAUUUACACGACUACUUCAUAGAGCCUCGUUCCCGAUCCCUUUCAUUUCCAUCUUCUUCGUCAAAGAUCAUAUGGAACUCUCUUGCCUUCGGUUUCGGUCGAAUGUUUGGUCUUUCCGCCUCUUUCUUCGUCGGGCAAUCCUUAGCAAUGUGCCAUUCUUCAUGGCAUUCAUAACAUACCCUUUUGCUGGCGGUGCACUCGUUGGCGUAAUGUCUGGUCUUCCCACACUUGUAGCAAGUCACUUCCUCGCUACAUUUCCUAAAGUGCUUCUUCUUGCACUUCUCGCACCAUUUCACUUCGUUUCCUCCUCCGCUAAACUCCUUUGAACCGAACUUGAUCUUCUUAUUGGGCCUUGUAGACCCCUCAAACUUCCUCUUUUCGCCAACCUCAAUCUUGUUGGCAGCACUUCCCUUAAUCAUAUCCUCCACAGACUUGGCAGCCCAGAUAGCUGCCUAAUGUACUGGCACCGCGUACUCCCAUGGAAGUCCCUUUGCAUACUUGUCGAUUUUCGUCAACUCAUCCGGAAAAAGACACAAGGCGAACUCCAUCUUCUCUGUGAAUUUGUUGGUGUAUUCAUCAAUUGACAUGCUUCCUUUCUUCAAGGUCGGGAACGGGUUCUCUAGCUCGAGCAAGUUUUGGGCCGAGUAGUACUUGCGUUUGAACUGCACCAAAAAUUUUGCCCAUGCAGUUGCAUGGGCUCAUUGGGGCUCAGAGUCUUCCCCAGGGUAUUCCACCAGCACACAACACCUCCUUGGAAUUGACGUAUUGUAAAGGUGGUCUGUAACUUGCCUCUACAACCAUAUGUCAUGAAAGCUAACUCCAUCUUCGAGAUCCAAUCCAUGAAUCCGAUUGGAUCUUCCUUUCCAGUGAAAGUCGAUGGCUUGCAAGUUAGAAAAUCCUUGUACUUGCAUAUAUUCCUCUCGACUCCGUCAUCCUGGUUGUUUUGUCGAGCUAUUGGUGGGUUGGCUUGACCAACGGUCCCACUGUAGUUUCCUCCUUCUGACUGCCCAUCGUUCAAUUAGGGCUGUUCAACUAGCAUUGUAGAUCUGUCCCUAUUUUCAUGCAAUAUCUGCAUCAUCUCUUCCCGUUGUUCAGCCAACAUAUCCCGUACUACUCCGGCCAUUGUAAUUGGCUCAGGAGCAUCUGCUAUAACAAGUAUUUCUUCAAUCACUGGUGGUUGAUUCCUGUUCCCAUUUGCAUUCCCGGCUCUACUACGGGUUCUUGCCAUUUCGAUCUAUAUACCAAAUCAGACGUUCGGUGUGCAAUGACGAGAAUUAAGACAGGAAAUAUUUUAUUUACGAUCGACGUGUAAAUCUCCCUAUUUCUCUGAAAAGUUAUAUGUCAGUUCUAAUAUCGUAAUUAAACGUUUAAAAAUCCGAACACAUAAAGUUUUCAGAUCCGGUAGGCAACAGACCAUAGAUCUGAUCAUACAAUGCAUAUCAUAAAUCAUUUAGCACAUAAAAGCAUGUUAGGCAUUUUCCCUAAAUUAGCUAGUGCUUUUUUCUAUUCAGGUGCAUUACCUAAAUUUUAUUAGACACACUCCUCACAAUCAUUGAUUACCAUUCUAAGUUUAAGUCUAGAUAUAAAUCCAUAUUCCUAGUUCGCUUAAACUAAUGCUCUGAUACCAACUGUGACAUCCCCAUUUUCACGGCCAGAAAAUACCGAUUUUGUUUAUGCUUUAUAAAAGUCAGAGUACCUCUUUAAAUAAAAAUGUUGGGGAAUUUGUUUCCAGUAAAACAUGAUAAAUACGUUAUCAAAGCAUUUCCAAAAAAAAUAUUUGUAUUCAUUUUAAAACAUUUGGGUUGUCAUCGUCAAUACAGAAACAUAAGCAUAAAUAGAACUUACAUUCAUUAUCACUAGUGAUUUAUAUCUCCUUAAUCUCUCAGUGAAACGUGACUUCAUAUCAAUACUUGUGAUAUAAAUAAACUGAGUGGGUCAGGUUGGGAAACCUGGUGAGUACAUAGGGUUUUCAACCCACAAUAAAUAAGUUUAUU